Molecule: long non-coding RNA, 1627 nt
Filed under: Fragaria vesca (wild strawberry)
Lineage: Eukaryota; Viridiplantae; Streptophyta; Magnoliopsida; Rosales; Rosaceae
Description: long non-coding RNA (FVES_LNC001414)
Source: RNAcentral
UUAAUACCCCAACAAAAUAAACCCACUUAAAUUUUUUACCCCCUUUUUACUAACUCAAAAUUUACCCUUUUUAUCUGAUAAUUUUUUCGUGCUAACUCCGAUUUUUGCGUAUAACAUGUCUAUGAACUCAUAUUAACGUCCUAUACAACUUCCUUAAAGAAAGUUUUCCAAAAUAACUUGCCUACAAAAAGUCAAUUAUAAGGUCUUUAACAGUAAACGGUUACUUAACACGGUAAAAGACCAAGAUAAAACCAAAAAUAAAUAACCGUAAAAUAACUUAAGAACCGGGGUUUGACAAGUACCCUUUAAGCAGUGGCGGAGCCAAGAUUUACACUUAGAGGGGGUUCAAGUUUGACGAUAGACGACUCGAUUUGGAUUUAAUUAUUUUAUUUAAAUAUAAUUUUAAAUUAUUUUCGUUAACUAUAUGCUAAAUGUAGCAGUAUUUAUACAUCAUCUAUCAUCAAAAAAUUUAUAAAUUUUUAUUUAGUUUCAAUAAAGACAAUAAAACGUCACUCAUAAAAAAAAUUAAGUAAAAAGCGUUGAUGGCAAUAAUUUAGACGUUUAAACCUGAAAAUCUUGUAGAACCAUAUUUAUACAUUGGCGGAGCCAGUUCAGGACUAGUGAGGGCCCGUGCCCCCAUUAGAUUUCAACAUAUAGCUGUGUUUUGAUCUGAUGUGCCCCCAUUCCCUCACUAGAAAUCUUACAAUUGUAUUGGUUUAAUAUAUAAAAAUUUCAUAAAGCCCCACAAUUCCCACAAAACAAGAGAAAAAGGAAGCUAUGCACUCUUGAAUAUAUAAUUGAAAAGUUUAAAAUAUGAAAAUCAAGUCGUUUGCUGCGUUAAUGUCAAAAAAAAAGAAGGAGAAAUUACUGGUCACUCCAUUAACUUUCAUGCGCUCGACAGUUUACUCCAUUAACUUUCAAUUUCAAUCGAUCACUCCUCAAACUAUCCAAUGUCACACAAUUAGGUCCAUCCGUUAAGUGGCCGUCCAAAUCAGUGGUUAAGUCGCUGACUGGACAUAUUUUUUAACUGGAAAUUCUAUUUAAUACCCACCUCUCUCUCUCUCNCUCNCUCUNNNCNNCUCNNNNNNNUNUNUNNUNUNUNUCUCUCUCUCUNUCUACUACUACUCUCUACUACUACUAUACUACUACUACUACUACGUACGUACUACUACUACGUACUACUAUAUACUACUAGUACUACGUACUACUACUAUACGUACGUACGUACGUACUACGUACGUACGUAACUACGUACGUAACUUACGUUAACUUAAGUUACGUUAAGUUAGUACUACGUUACUAAGUACGUUACGUUACGUAGUAUAUUAUUAUAUAUAUUAUUACUACUACCUCUCUCUCUCUCUCUCUCUCUCUCUCUCUCUCUCAAAGUAGGCAUAUUUCAUGAAGCCAACUUCAGAUGAAUCAAAUAAACUCCUGUGAACCACUUACUGGUUGUUUUAUGACAGAACAUUAAUGUAUGAUGUCGUGGCAACAGAAUUGAAACAACUCCUUCAUGAGAAACUUCCAAGAGCCCAGAAACCAACUCCACAAAAAGCUUUAUGAAAAGCUGAUGAUUUUUGUUGCCCAGGAUGCCAACUAUAUGCACGAUUUACGCCAUGCUCUGAUG